GUGCCAGCAGCCGCGGUAAUACGGAGGGUGCAAGCGUUACUCGGAAUCACUGGGCGUAAAGGGUGCGUAGGCUGGCCUUUAAGUCAGAUGUGAAAUCCAAUGGCACAACCAUUGAACUGCAUUUGAAACUGAGAGCCUAGAGUUCAGAAGGGGCAGAUGGAAUUAGUGGUGUAGGGGUAAAAUCCGUAGAUAUCACUAGGAAUAUCAAAAGCGAAGGCGAUCUGCUGGGAUGAUACUGACGCUGAGGCACGAAAGCGUGGGGAGCAAACAGGAUUAGAUACCCCUGGUAGUCC
This 293-nucleotide ribosomal RNA is filed under the name uncultured microorganism. RNAcentral describes it as "partial 16S ribosomal RNA". It matches the Rfam family "Bacterial small subunit ribosomal RNA", at positions 505 to 796 of the family's 1533-position model. The record is from RNAcentral.